CGGCCCCGGGCGGGCAUCCUGCUCCUGGCAGAGCGGGCACGGCGCAGUGCUGCUGCUCUAGGGCCGAACACUUGCCUUGCCGCUUUAUGUGCCUGUGGGUUUAUAAUCGAAUAAUAAGAAACUUUCAUCUCUUUGAAGAAAAUGGAAGAUGCAAAACCGGUAUUUCUAAGCCAUCACCAUUAUAUUCCUCUUAUUUCAUUUUAAUCUUAAAGUUUCUGUAAUGUGCUACUUUAAAGAAAUAAAUUUCUGUUUUAAACAAUUCCUUUUA
This is a non-coding RNA of Lonchura striata (white-rumped munia), 268 nucleotides long. The record is from RefSeq and is a predicted model, not a curated record. NCBI's taxonomy places the organism in Eukaryota, Metazoa, Chordata, Aves, Passeriformes, Estrildidae.